This 468-nucleotide ribosomal RNA is filed under the name uncultured bacterium. Its description in RNAcentral is "partial 16S ribosomal RNA". It matches the Rfam family "Bacterial small subunit ribosomal RNA", at positions 28 to 507 of the family's 1533-position model. The record is from RNAcentral.
GACGAACGCUGGCGGCGUGCUUAACACAUGCAAGUCGAACGAUGAUGCCAGCUUGCUGGUGGAUUAGUGGCGAACGGGUGAGUAACACGUGAGCAACCUGCCCCUGACUUCGGGAUAACCGCGGGAAACCGUGGCUAAUACCGGAUAUGACGCGCUAUCGCAUGGUGGUGUGUGGAAAGAUUUAUUGGAUGGGGAUGAGCCCGCGGCCUAUCAGCUUGUUGGUGGGGUGGUGGCCCACCAAGGCGACGACGGGUAGCCGGCCUGAGAGGGUGACCGGCCAGACUGGUACUGACACAAGGGCCAGACUCCUACGGGAGGCAGCAGUGGGGAAUAUUGCACAAUGUGCGCAAGCCUGAUGCAGCGACGCCGCGUGAGGGAUGACGGCCUUCGGGUUGUAAGCCUCUUUCAGUAGGGAAGAAGGCCUUCGGGUUGACGGUACCUUCAGAAGAAGCGCCGGCUAACUACGUG